RNAcentral lists this ribosomal RNA (320 nucleotides) under uncultured eukaryote. Its description in RNAcentral is "partial 18S ribosomal RNA". It matches the Rfam family "Eukaryotic small subunit ribosomal RNA", at positions 1470 to 1796 of the family's 1831-position model. The record is from RNAcentral.
CCCCUAGAUGUUCUGGGCCGCACGCGCGCUACACUGAACAGUUCAACAAGUCUUAACCUUGGCCGAUAGGUCUGGGUAAUCUUUGAACGCUGUUCGUGAUUGGGAUAGACCUUUGCAAUUAAGGGUCUUCAACGAGGAAUUCCUAGUAAACGCAAGUCAUCAGCUUGCAUUGAUUACGUCCCUGCCCUUUGUACACACCGCCCGUCGCACCUACCGAUUGAAUGGUCCGGUGAAAUCUCGGGACGGCGGCUUGGUCGCUUGCGUCCGACUGCUGAAACUUGAUUAAACCAUAUCAUUUAGAGGAAGGUGAAGUCGUAACA